GACGAACGCUGGCGGCGUGCUUAACACAUGCAAGUCGAACGGAAAGGCCCUGCUUGCAGGGUACUCGAGUGGCGAACGGGUGAGUAACACGUGGGUGAUCUGCCCUGCACUUCGGGGUAAGCCUGGGAAACUGGGUCUAAUACCGGAUAGGAGCCACGAUUAGCGUGAGGGUGGGAAAGAUUUUUCGGUGUAGGAUGAGCUCGCGGCCUAUCAGCUGGUUGGUGGGGUAAUGGCCUACUAAGGCGGCGACGGGUAGCCGGCCUGUGAGGGUGGACGGCCACCUUGGGUCUUAGGGACGGCCCAGACGCCGACGGGAGGCAGAAGUGGGGAAUAUUGCACAAUGGGCGCCAGCCUGAUGCAGCGACGCCGCGUGGUGGAUGACGGCCUUCGGGUUGUAGACUCCUUUCGCUAGGGACGAAGCUUUUUGUGACGGUACCUAGAGAAGAAGCACCGGCUAACUUCGUG
Molecule: ribosomal RNA, 465 nt
Filed under: uncultured bacterium
Lineage: Bacteria
Description: partial 16S ribosomal RNA
Rfam family: Bacterial small subunit ribosomal RNA
Source: RNAcentral